Molecule: ribosomal RNA, 532 nt
Filed under: Boana faber (blacksmith treefrog)
Lineage: Eukaryota; Metazoa; Chordata; Amphibia; Anura; Hylidae
Description: partial large subunit ribosomal RNA
Rfam family: Bacterial large subunit ribosomal RNA
Source: RNAcentral
GGACCCUGUUCAACGGCCGCGGGAUCCUAACCGGGCGAAGGUAUCGUAAUCGCUUGUUCUUUAAAUAACGACUGGAAUGAAUGGCACCCCGAGGGUUACACUGUCUCCUCUUUCUAAUCAGUGAAACUAAUCUCCCCGUGAAGAAGCUGGGAUUUUUUUAUAAGACGAGAAGACCCUAUGGAGCUUUAAACUACUAACACUUGCUGCCAUUCACUCCCCCUUCCAAAAACUUUUUAUUAAGCAGAGCAUCGUGAUUGAUAUUUUUCGAUUGGGGUGAUCGAGGAGUAAAAAACAACCUCCAUGCCGAAAGGGCUUCCUCCCCUGAGCCGAAGGCUACCACUUAAAGCACUAAAAAAUUAACGUUUAUUGACCCAAUAAUUUUGAUCAACGAACCAAGUUACCCUAGGGAUAACAGCGCACUCCACUUCAAGAGCUCCUAUCGACAAGUGGGUUUACGACCUCGAUGUUGGAUCACGGUAUCCCAGUGGUGCGGCCGCUACUAACGGGUCGUUUGUUCUGCGAUUAAAACCCU